CCUACGGGAGGCAGCAGUGAGGAAUAUUGGUCAAUGGGCGGGAGCCUGAACCAGCCAAGUCGCGUGAAGGAAGAAGGUACUUAGUAUUGUAAACUUCUUUUGUCGGGGAACAAAGGCGGAGACGCGUCUCCGGAUGAGUGUACCCGAAGAAAAAGCAUCGGCUAACUCCGUGCCAGCAGCCGCGGUAAUACGGAGGAUGCGAGCGUUAUCCGGAUUUAUUGGGUUUAAAGGGUGCGCAGGCGGAAUGUCAAGUCAGCGGUAAAAUUUCGGGGCUCAACCCCGUCGUGCCGUUGAAACUGGCGUUCUUGAGUGAGCGAGAAGUAUGCGGAAUGCGUGGUGUAGCGGUGAAAUGCAUAGAUAUCGCGCAGAACUCCGAUUGCGAAGGCAGCAUGCCGGCGCUCAACUGACGCUCAUGCACGAAAGCGUGGGUAUCGAACAGGAUUAGAUACCCUGGUAGUC
This 459-nucleotide ribosomal RNA is filed under the name uncultured bacterium. RNAcentral describes it as "partial 16S ribosomal RNA". It matches the Rfam family "Bacterial small subunit ribosomal RNA", at positions 338 to 795 of the family's 1533-position model. The record is from RNAcentral.